RNAcentral lists this ribosomal RNA (401 nucleotides) under Lacticaseibacillus paracasei. Its description in RNAcentral is "bacterial SSU rRNA". It matches the Rfam family "Bacterial small subunit ribosomal RNA", at positions 1028 to 1430 of the family's 1533-position model. The record is from RNAcentral. Lineage: Bacteria; Bacillati; Bacillota; Bacilli; Lactobacillales; Lactobacillaceae.
AAAAUGACAGGUGGUGCAUGGUUGUCGUCAGCUCGUGUCGUGAGAUGUUGGGUUAAGUCCCGCAACGAGCGCAACCCUUAUGACUAGUUGCCAGCAUUUAGUUGGGCACUCUAGUAAGACUGCCGGUGACAAACCGGAGGAAGGUGGGGAUGACGUCAAAUCAUCAUGCCCCUUAUGACCUGGGCUACACACGUGCUACAAUGGAUGGUACAACGAGUUGCGAGACCGCGAGGUCAAGCUAAUCUCUUAAAGCCAUUCUCAGUUCGGACUGUAGGCUGCAACUCGCCUACACGAAGUCGGAAUCGCUAGUAAUCGCGGAUCAGCACGCCGCGGUGAAUACGUUCCCGGGCCUUGUACACACCGCCCGUCACACCAUGAGAGUUUGUAACACCCGAAGCCGG